UACAGAGGGUGCAAGCGUUAAUCGGAAUUACUGGGCGUAAAGCGUGCGUAGACGGUUACAUAAGUCGGGUGUGAAAGCCCCGGGCUCAACCUGGGAAUUGCAUUCGAGACUGCGUAGCUAGGGUGCGGAAGAGGGAAGCGGAAUUUCCGGUGUAGCGGUGAAAUGCGUAGAUAUCGGAAGGAACACCAGUGGCGAAGGCGGCUCACUGGCCCGGAACUGACGCUGAGGUGCGAAAGCGUGGGGAGCAAACAGG
This 253-nucleotide ribosomal RNA is filed under the name uncultured bacterium. RNAcentral's name for it is "partial 16S ribosomal RNA". It matches the Rfam family "Bacterial small subunit ribosomal RNA", at positions 524 to 776 of the family's 1533-position model. The record is from RNAcentral.